This 468-nucleotide ribosomal RNA is filed under the name uncultured bacterium. RNAcentral describes it as "partial 16S ribosomal RNA". It matches the Rfam family "Bacterial small subunit ribosomal RNA", at positions 28 to 507 of the family's 1533-position model. The record is from RNAcentral.
GACGAACGCUGGCGGCGUGCUUAACACAUGCAAGUCGAACGGAAAGGCCCUGCUUUUGUGGGGUGCUCGAGUGGCGAACGGGUGAGUAAAACGUGAGUAACCUGCACUUGACUUUGGGAUAACUUCAGGAAACUGGGGCUAAUACCGGAUAGGAGCUCCUGAUGCAUGGGGGGGGUUGGAAAGUUUCGGCGGUUGGGGAUGGACUCGCGGGUUAUCAGCUUGUUGGUGGGGUAGUGGAUUACCAGGGCUUAGACGGGUAGCCCGCCUGAGAGGGGGACCGGCGACCUGGGUACUGCGAGACGGAGCAGACGCCAAUCGGCCGCAGCAGUCGGGAACAUUGCAGAACGGGGGCACGCGUGAUGUAACGAUGUUCGGUGCGUGAUGCUGGGUUAUGAGGUGUAAACCGCUGUGUCCGUUGAUGUACCCUUCUUGACGGUAAUUGGUCAAGAAGCCACGGCUAACUACGUG